GGUGCGCAAGUUGAUCAUCUUCAGUGACAGAUGCUGUGGGCAGAAUAACAACUGGCGGAUGCUCAAUCUGAUGUCGAUGCUCAUCUCUAUGGGUUACUUUACCCAAGUUGAGCAGAAGUUCAUGGUCUCUGGUCAUUCUUUUCUUCCUUGUGAUCGAUCUUUUGCCACCAUUGAGAAGAGGCGCAAGGUGUCAGUCCUUCAUACACCUGAUGAUGUUUCAAAGAUGAUGCUUGAAGCACAACCAGCAAAACCAUUCAAGGUGAUGAGGAUGCAAUGUGAAGACUUCAGGCACCUGCCAGAUUCUGUCCUCAAGCGACCAGCUGGACUACAGAUCACCUCAGUGAGGUGGUUAAAAGUCACAGGUAUUGGGAAAGGAAUCGAUCGCAAACAUUGGCUCAUUCUAAGAUCCGAUGACAGUAUAUCACAGUUGAGGAUCCUUGGAAUCUGUACGCCAGACAGAGCCACAGUCUAUUUGAGGGAUGGAAAUCGUGGCUGAUCUCCAAACCAAAACAAGGAGCUACACCUCAACCUCCCUAUUUUGCAAGCCACUACCCUAGAGCAUAUGAGAGUACUCUGCCCAUCAAAAAAAACAAGUACCAAGAUCUGAUGACCAUGCUCAACUACUUGCCAGCUGCUGCACGCUCUUUUUAUAAAUCACUGCAGAGUGAAUAAUUUGAUGUUAAACCAAGCUACAUAAUUAACCGUUUUUUCUGUGAGUUUAUGAUCCCCUGAACCUGUAUAGUAUGUUGAAUCUGAAUACAUUUCAGAAAACAUGUCACCCCUAUUGUAGGAAUUUUCUAUGUGAAUCAAUUUGUGUAUGAUUUCAACCAGCACAAUAUAUUGAAUGAAUUACAUUUUAAGAUGUUGUUCCUAGUGUAGAAAAUGUUAUGUACAAUGUGUUCUGUUGAGAAUGAUUUUGUGUGUGAUCAUUUGAACCUUUUUUAAAUCUGAAUUAAUUAAAAACAAACAAGUCAUCA
Non-coding RNA from Salmo salar (Atlantic salmon), 977 nucleotides. The record is from RefSeq and is a predicted model, not a curated record. NCBI's taxonomy places the organism in Eukaryota, Metazoa, Chordata, Actinopteri, Salmoniformes, Salmonidae.